GACGAACGCUGGCGGCGUGCCUAAUACAUGCAAGUAGAACGCUGAAGAGAGGAGCUUGCUCUUCUUGGAUGAGUUGCGAACGGGUGAGUAACGCGUAGGUAACCUGCCUUGUAGCGGGGGAUAACUAUUGGAAACGAUAGCUAAUACCGCAUAACAAUGGAUGACACAUGUCAUUUAUUUGAAAGGGGCAAUUGCUCCACUACAAGAUGGACCUGCGUUGUAUUAGCUAGUAGGUGAGGUAAUGGCUCACCUAGGCGACGAUACAUAGCCGACCUGAGAGGGUGGUCGACCACACUGGGACUGGGACACGGCCCAGACUCCUACGGGAGGCAGCAGUAGGGAAUCUUCGGCAAUGGGGGCAACCCUGACCGAGCAACGCCGCGUGAGUGAAGAAGGUUUUCGGAUCGUAAAGCUCUGUUGUAAGUCAAGAACGGGUGUGAGAGUGGAAAGUUCACACUGUGACGGUAGCUUACCAGAAAGGGACGGCUAACUACGUG
RNAcentral lists this ribosomal RNA (497 nucleotides) under uncultured bacterium. Its description in RNAcentral is "partial 16S ribosomal RNA". It matches the Rfam family "Bacterial small subunit ribosomal RNA", at positions 28 to 507 of the family's 1533-position model. The record is from RNAcentral.